GGAGGCACCUGCACAGGUGCUGCAUGGCUGUCGUCAGCUCGUGUCGUGAGAUGUUGGGUUAAGUCCCGCAACGAGCGCAACCCUUAUCCCUAGUUGCCAUCAGGUAAAGCUGGGAACUCUGGGGAGACUGCCGGUGAUAAACCGGAGGAAGGCGGGGAUGACGUCAAGUCCUCGUGGCCCUUACAUCCCGGGCUACACACGUGCUACAAUGGCAGGUACAGAGGGCUGCGAAGCCGCGAGGUGGAGCGAAUCCCAGAAAACCUGUCUCAGUCCGGAUUGAAGUCUGCAACUCGACUUCAUGAAGGCGGAAUCGCUAGUAACCGCGAAUCAGCAGGUCGCGGUGAAUACGUUCCCGGGCCUU
RNAcentral lists this ribosomal RNA (361 nucleotides) under uncultured Latescibacterota bacterium. RNAcentral's name for it is "bacterial SSU rRNA". It matches the Rfam family "Bacterial small subunit ribosomal RNA", at positions 1022 to 1382 of the family's 1533-position model. Lineage: Bacteria; Pseudomonadati; Candidatus Latescibacterota. The record is from RNAcentral.